CCUACGGGCGGCAGCAGUGAGGAAUAUUGGUCAAUGGGCGGAAGCCUGAACCAGCCAAGUAGCGUGCGGGAUGAAGGCCCUACGGGUUGUAAACCGCUUUUGCACGGGGAUAACACCCUCCACUUGUGGAGGUCUGCAGGUACCGUGCGAAUAAGGACCGGCUAAUUCCGUGCCAGCAGCCGCGGUAAUACGGAAGGCCCGAGCGUUAUCCGGAUUCAUUGGGCUUAAAGGGAGCGUAGGCGGGCGUUCAAGUCAGCUGUAAAAUCGCGCGGCUCAACCGCGCCCCGCAGUUGAAACUGGACGCCUUGAGUUCACAACAGGCAGGCGGAAUUCGUGGUGUAGCGGUGAAAUGCAUAGAUAUCACGAGGAACCCCGAUUGCGAAGGCAGCCUGCCGGGGUGCGACUGACGCUGAGGCUCGAAGGUGCGGGUAUCAAACAGGAUUAGAUACCCCGGUAGUC
RNAcentral lists this ribosomal RNA (459 nucleotides) under uncultured bacterium. Its description in RNAcentral is "partial 16S ribosomal RNA". It matches the Rfam family "Bacterial small subunit ribosomal RNA", at positions 338 to 795 of the family's 1533-position model. The record is from RNAcentral.